RNAcentral lists this ribosomal RNA (389 nucleotides) under uncultured bacterium. RNAcentral's name for it is "bacterial SSU rRNA". It matches the Rfam family "Bacterial small subunit ribosomal RNA", at positions 28 to 417 of the family's 1533-position model. The record is from RNAcentral.
GACGAACGCUGGCGGCGUGCUUAACACAUGCAAGUCGAGCGGUAAGGCCCUUUCGGGGGUACGACGAGCGGCGAACGGGUGAGUAACACGUGGGUGACCUGCCCUCAGCUCUGGGAUAAGCCUGGGAAACCGGGUCUAAUACCGGAUAUGACUCCAUGACGCAUGUUGUGGGGUGGAAAGCCUUGUGCGGCUGAGGAUGGGCCCGCGGCCUAUCAGCUUGUUGGUGGGGUGAUGGCCUACCAAGGCGACGACGGGUAGCCGGCCAGAGAGGGCGACCGGCCACACUGGGACUGAGACACGGCCCAGACUCCUACGGGAGGCAGCAGUGGGGAAUCUUGCGCAAUGGGCGAAAGCCUGACGCAGCGACGCCGCGUGAGGGACGACGGCCU